CGGACGAACGCUAGCGGCAGGCCUAACACAUGCAAGUCGAGGGGUAGAGUAAGCUUGCUUACUUGAGACCGGCGCACGGGUGCGUAACGCGUAUGCAAUCUACCUUAUACUAAGGGAUAGCCCAGAGAAAUUUGGAUUAAUACCUUAUAGUUAAUUUAGUUGGCAUCAAUUGAAUUAUAAAGAUUUAUUGGUAUAAGAUGAGCAUGCGUCCCAUUAGUUAGUUGGUAAGGUAACGGCUUACCAAGACGAUGAUGGGUAGGGGUCCUGAGAGGGAGAUCCCCCACACUGGUACUGAGACACGGACCAGACUCCUACGGGAGGCAGCAGUGAGGAAUAUUGGACAAUGGGCGCAAGCCUGAUCCAGCCAUGCCGCGUGCAGGAUGAAGCAUCUAUGGUGUGUAAACUGCUUUUGUACGGGAAGAAAAAACAUUACGAGUAAUGUACUGACGGUACCGUAAGAAUAAGGAUCGGCUAACUCCGUG
This 482-nucleotide ribosomal RNA is filed under the name uncultured bacterium. RNAcentral's name for it is "bacterial SSU rRNA". It matches the Rfam family "Bacterial small subunit ribosomal RNA", at positions 27 to 507 of the family's 1533-position model. The record is from RNAcentral.